GAGCUGUUUAAAAAUUGCAAGAGGUGCUACAAUGGAGAUAAAAUAAGGAUUUUCAAAUGCUUGCUUCCAGCAGCCGUCAACCAAAAGAUCUGUGGCGUUAAGGAUAUCAAGGAAGAAUAUCCCGGAGCAAACGAAGAAGAAACCAAUAAUAUUCAAGCUGUGUAAAUUGUUGUAAUAAAAUUGUGUCAGCUUGUA
This is a long non-coding RNA of Vanessa atalanta (red admiral), 195 nucleotides long. RefSeq lists it as uncharacterized. The transcript is spliced from 2 exons. The record is from RefSeq and is a predicted model, not a curated record. Lineage: Eukaryota; Metazoa; Arthropoda; Insecta; Lepidoptera; Nymphalidae.